RNAcentral lists this ribosomal RNA (414 nucleotides) under uncultured microorganism. Its description in RNAcentral is "bacterial SSU rRNA". It matches the Rfam family "Archaeal small subunit ribosomal RNA", at positions 459 to 872 of the family's 1478-position model. The record is from RNAcentral.
CAGCCGCCGCGGUAAUACCGGCGGCCCGAGUGGCGGUCACUAUUAUUGGGCUUAAAGCGUCCGUAGCCGGGUUGGGAAGUCCUCCGGGAAAUCUGGCCGCUUAACGGUCAGAAUGCCGGAGGAUACUCCCAGCCUAGGGAGCGGGGGAGGCCGAGGGGAUUCCCGGAGUAGGGGGGAAAUCCUAUAAACCCGGGAGGACCACCUGUGGCGAAGGCGCUCGGCUGGAACGCGUCCGACGGUGAGGGACGAAGGCCAGGGGAGCAAACCGGAUUAGAUACCCGGGUAGUCCUGGCUGUAAACGAUGCGGACUUUGUGUCGGACAAGCUAUGAGCUUGUCCGGUGCCGGAGGGAAACCGUUAAGUCCGCCGCCUGGGGAGUACGGCCGCAAGGCUGAAACUUAAAGGAAUUGGCGGG